Molecule: ribosomal RNA, 807 nt
Filed under: uncultured bacterium
Lineage: Bacteria
Description: bacterial SSU rRNA
Rfam family: Bacterial small subunit ribosomal RNA
Source: RNAcentral
AGAGUUUGAUCCUGGCUCAGGAUGAACGCUAGCGGCAGGCUUAACACAUGCAAGUCGAGGGGCAGCACAUGACGUAGCAAUACAGAUGGUGGCGACCGGCGCACGGGUGAGUAACACGUAUGCAACCUACCUUCCACAGGGCGAUAACCCGUUGAAAAACGGACUAAUAGUCCAUAAUACAGGGAUCCCGCAUGGGAAUAUUUGUUAAAGAUUUUUUCGGUAGAGGAUGGGCAUGCGCUCCAUUAGCCAGAUGGUGAGGUAACGGCUCACCAUAGCAACGAUGUCUAGGGGUUUUGAGAGGAAGGCCCCCCACACUGGGACUGAGACACGGCCCAGACUCCUACGGGAGGCAGCAGUGAGGAAUAUUGGACAAUGGAUGGAAAUCUGAUCCAGCCAUGCCGCGUGCAGGAAGACGGCCUUAUGGGUUGUAAACUGCUUUUAUACGGGAGCAAUAAGGGUUACGAGUAAUCCGAUGAGAGUACUGUAUGAAUAAGGAUCGGCUAACUCCGUGCCAGCAGCCGCGGUAAUACGGAGGAUCCGAGCGUUAUCCGGAAUUAUUGGGUUUAAAGGGUGCGUAGGCGGCCAUUUAAGUCAGCGGUGAAAUUUUGCAGCUUAACUGUAACAGUGCCGUUGAUACUGUUUGGCUAGGAUUUGGUUGUAGUGUGCGGAAUGUGUGGUGUAGCGGUGAAAUGCUUAGAUAUCACACAGAACACCGAUUGCGAAGGCAGCACACUAAGUCAUUAUUGACGCUGAGGCACGAAAGUGUGGGGAUCAAACGAGGAUUAGAUACCCUGGUAGUCCACACUG